This 600-nucleotide ribosomal RNA is filed under the name Triticum aestivum (bread wheat). RNAcentral's name for it is "partial small subunit ribosomal RNA". The record is from RNAcentral. Lineage: Eukaryota; Viridiplantae; Streptophyta; Magnoliopsida; Poales; Poaceae.
AUGUUAAUUGCCGCAUUCUAUGAUUAUGAGAUAUGGCAAAUGGACGUCAAAACGGCAUUCCUUAAUGGUUUCCUUAAGGAAGAAUUGUAUAUGAUGCAGCCGGAAGGUUUUGUCGAUCCUAAGAAUGCUGACAAGGUGUGCAAGCUCCAACGCUCGAUUUAUGGGCUGGCGCAAGCAUCUCGGAGUUGGAACAUUCGCUUUGAUGAGAUGAUCAAAGCGUUUGGGUAUACACAGACUUAUGGAGAAGCCUGCGUUUACAAGAAAGUGAGUGGGAGCUCUGUAGCAUUUCUCAUAUUAUAUGUAGAUGACAUACUUUUGAUGGAAAAUGAUAUAGAACUCUUGGACAGCAUUAAGGCCUACUUGAAUAAGAGUUUUUCAAUGAAGGACCUUGGAGAAGCUGCAUAUAUAUUAGGCAUCAAGAUCUAUAGAGAUAGAUCAAGACACCUCAUAGGUCUUUCACAAAGCACAUACCUUGAUAAGAUAUUGAAGAAAUUCAAUAUGGAUCAGUCUAAGAAGGGGUUCUUCCCUGUGUUACAAGGUGUGAAAUUGAGCUCAGCUCAAUGUCCGACCACGGCAGAAGAUAUAGAAGAGAUGAGUGUC